CCUACGGGUGGCAGCAGUGGGGAAUAUUGCACAAUGGGGGAAACCCUGAUGCAGCGACGCCGCGUGGGGGAAGAAGGAUUUCGUUAUGUAAAGCUCUAUUAUGAGGGAAGAUAAUGACGGUAUCUGACGAAUAAGCACCGGCUAACUCCGUGCCAGCAGCCGCGGUAAUACGUAGGGGGCAAGCGUUACUCGGAUUCACUGGGCGUAAAGGGUGCGCAGACGGGAGUGCAAGUCUGAUGUGAAAGGCUGUGGCUUAACCACAGAACUGCACUUGAAACUGUAAGGCUGGAGUGUAGGAGAGGUAAGUGGAAUUCCUGGUGUAGCGGUGAAAUGCGUAGAUAUCAAGAGGAACACCAGUGGCGAAGGCGACUUACUGGAAUGUUACUGACGUUGAGGCACGAAAGCGUGGGGAGCAAACAGGAUUAGAUACCCGGGUAGUC
RNAcentral lists this ribosomal RNA (440 nucleotides) under uncultured bacterium. RNAcentral's name for it is "partial 16S ribosomal RNA". It matches the Rfam family "Bacterial small subunit ribosomal RNA", at positions 338 to 795 of the family's 1533-position model. The record is from RNAcentral.